ACUCCCUACGGGGGGCAGCAGUGGGGAAUAUUGCACAAUGGGGGAAACCCUGAUGCAGCGACGCCGCGUGAGCGAUGAAGUAUUUCGGUAUGUAAAGCUCUAUCAGUAGGGAAGAAAAUGACGGUACCUGACUAAGAAGCCCCGGCUAACUACGUGCCAGCAGCCGCGGUAAUACGUAGGGGGCAAGCGUUAUCCGGAUUUAUUGGGUUUAAAGGGUGCGUAGGCGGAAUAUCAAGUCAGCGGUAAAAAUUCGGGGCUCAACCCCGUCGUGCCGUUGAAACUGAUGUUCUUGAGUGGGCGAGAAG
Molecule: ribosomal RNA, 305 nt
Filed under: uncultured bacterium
Lineage: Bacteria
Description: bacterial SSU rRNA
Rfam family: Bacterial small subunit ribosomal RNA
Source: RNAcentral